Molecule: transfer RNA, 62 nt
Filed under: Degeeriella rufa
Lineage: Eukaryota; Metazoa; Arthropoda; Insecta; Psocodea; Philopteridae
Description: tRNA-His
Source: RNAcentral
AUAGCACGUAGUUUAUGUAAAACAUUGGUUUGUGGUACCAAAAAAGGCCAGGCUCUGCUAUG